GACGAACGCUGGCGGCGUGCCUAAUACAUGCAAGUCGAACGCUGAAGGAAGGAGCUUGCUCUUUCUGGAUGAGUUGCGAACGGGUGAGUAACGCGUAGGUAACCUGCCUGGUAGCGGGGGAUAACUACUGGAAACGAUAGCUAAUACCGCAUAAUAUUGAUUAUUGCAUGAUAGUCAAUUAAAAGGUGCAACUGCACCACUACCAGAUGGACCUGCGUUGUAUUAGCUAGUUGGUGGGGUAACGGCUCACCAAGGCGACGAUACAUAGCCGACCUGAGAGGGUGAUCGGCCACACUGGGACUGAGACACGGCCCAGACUCCUACGGGAGGCAGCAGUAGGGAAUCUUCGGCAAUGGACGGAAGUCUGACCGAGCAACGCCGCGUGAGUGAAGAAGGUUUUCGGAUCGUAAAGCUCUGUUGUAAGGGAAGAACAAGUGUGAGAGUAGAAAGUUCACACUGUGACGGUACCUUACCAGAAAGGGACGGCUAACUACGUG
RNAcentral lists this ribosomal RNA (497 nucleotides) under uncultured bacterium. Its description in RNAcentral is "partial 16S ribosomal RNA". It matches the Rfam family "Bacterial small subunit ribosomal RNA", at positions 28 to 507 of the family's 1533-position model. The record is from RNAcentral.